AGCCGCGGUAAUACGAAGGGUGCAAGCGUUACUCGGAAUUACUGGGCGUAAAGCGUGCGUAGGUGGUCGUUUAAGUCCGUUGUGGAAGCCCUGGGCUCAACCCGGGAACUGCAGUGGAUACUGGGCGACUAGAGUGUGGUAGAGGGUAGCGGAAUUCCUGGUGUUGCAGUGAAAUGCGUAGAGAUCAGGAGGAACAUCCAUGGCGAAGGCAGCUACCUGGACCAACACUGACACUGAGGCACGAAAGCGUGGGGAGCAAACAGGAUUAGAUACCCUGGUAGUCCACGCCCUAAACGACGCGAACUGGAUGUUGGGUGCAAUUUGGCACGCAGUAUCGAAGCUAACGCGUUAAGUUCGCCGCCUGGGGAGUACGGUCGCAAGACUGAAACUCAAAGGAAUUGACGGGGGCCCGCACAAGCGGUGGAGUAUGUGGUUUAAUUCGAUGCAACGCGAAGAACCUUACCUGGCCUUGACAUGUCGAGAACUUUCCAGAGAUGGAUUGGUGCCUUCGGGAACUCGAACACAGGUGCUGCAUGGCUGUCAUCAGCUCGUGUCGUGAGAUGUUGGGUUAAGUCCCGCAACGAGCGCAACCCUUGUCCUUAGUUGCCAGCACGUAAUGGGUGGGAACUCUAAGGAGACCGCCGGGUGA
RNAcentral lists this ribosomal RNA (649 nucleotides) under uncultured Stenotrophomonas sp. RNAcentral's name for it is "bacterial SSU rRNA". It matches the Rfam family "Bacterial small subunit ribosomal RNA", at positions 513 to 1159 of the family's 1533-position model. The record is from RNAcentral. Lineage: Bacteria; Pseudomonadati; Pseudomonadota; Gammaproteobacteria; Lysobacterales; Lysobacteraceae.